This 72-nucleotide transfer RNA is filed under the name Saccoglossus kowalevskii. Its description in RNAcentral is "tRNA-Gln". It matches the Rfam family "tRNA". From Rfam's summary of the family: Transfer RNA (tRNA) molecules are approximately 80 nucleotides in length. Their secondary structure includes four short double-helical elements and three loops (D, anti-codon, and T loops). The record is from RNAcentral. Lineage: Eukaryota; Metazoa; Hemichordata; Enteropneusta; Harrimaniidae.
GGUCCUAUGGUGUAAUGGUUAGCACUCUGGAAUUUGAAUCCAACGAUCCGAGUUCAAAUCUCGGUGGGACCU